Molecule: ribosomal RNA, 301 nt
Filed under: uncultured bacterium
Lineage: Bacteria
Description: partial 16S ribosomal RNA
Rfam family: Bacterial small subunit ribosomal RNA
Source: RNAcentral
CAGCCGCCGCGGUAAUACGUAGGGUGCAAGCGUUAAUCGGAAUUACUGGGCGUAAAGCGUGCGCAGGCGGUUCGCUAAGACAGAUGUGAAAUCCCCGGGCUUAACCUGGGAACUGCAUUUGUGACUGGCGGGCUAGAGUAUGGCAGAGGGGGGUAGAAUUCCACGUGUAGCAGUGAAAUGCGUAGAGAUGUGGAGGAAUACCGAUGGCGAAGGCAGCCCCCUGGGCCAAUACUGACGCUCAUGCACGAAAGCGUGGGUAGCAAACAGGAUUAGAUACCCCUGUAGUCCCUGUCUCUUAUAC